AUACCUUUCUCGGCCUUUUGGUUAAGAUCAAGUGUAGUAUCUAUUCUUAUCAGUUUAAUAUCUGAUAUGUGGGUCAUGUGCUCACAACAAUAUUAAAUUUAUCUUUCGUGGGGGAGGGUCCACCACAGUGGCUUGCACUACAGCCCAGGCAGGUGCACCCCAA
Molecule: non-coding RNA, 163 nt
Organism: Triticum aestivum (bread wheat)
Lineage: Eukaryota; Viridiplantae; Streptophyta; Magnoliopsida; Poales; Poaceae
Source: Rfam